Long non-coding RNA from Gasterosteus aculeatus aculeatus (three-spined stickleback), 1909 nucleotides. NCBI's taxonomy places the organism in Eukaryota, Metazoa, Chordata, Actinopteri, Perciformes, Gasterosteidae. The record is from Ensembl.
GGGCGACCUGGCCAAGAAGGCAGCAGCACACGUCGUUUAAAAAGAGCCAUAAAACACCUAUACAUGACAUGAGUGAAACCACAAUACACAUUAAGUUAAAAACAAAAUACAAAGAAAAAAUGGUCAAAAGCAGAGGCACCGUUCAAUGGAUUUUUGUUGUUUGUCCUUUAGUCACAUACUUGGUGCUUGGAAGUAUGAAUUAUCUAUUUGAUUUAUUAAUUGGAGCUAUCGUCUCUGUUGUUGUUUUUUUACACUAGUAGGUGUUACGGUAUGUUAAAGAUUUGGGUUUUCUGUCCAUUGGGUCGACCCUGUUUUAUCAACUUGAGAUCCCGAUGAAUAAAAUAAAGUCAAAUUGGAGACUGUAUCACACAGAGAGAGAUUGAAUAUACCCUGGUGUAAAUUGUAUGUUUUAAUUAUGGCUCCACACUAUUCUUAAUGUUCUUUAUUCAACAAUGGCUUCUACUCUGGCCUGCACAGGUUUUAUUUUUGCACAUAGACCAAAUGAAAUACCUCAAUUCAAUCCGUUGAUAUAGAUUCAUAAUCUACAUCAACUCAGGUCAGAUCAGCUCAGGUAACAGUCAGAGAUUAGGCAGGGCCACAAUCAAAAUAAACAUAAAUACCAUUUUAUGUUUUUUAGACAAUGGCCUGCCACGAGUGAAACGAAAAAAAACACACCAAGCUGCAUAAUAUUUCUGAUGAGGAGACUGUUUGUAAUGUGCAUUGGGCACAUUUUGCAGUUAAAAGCCAGUACUGCUUUCAAAACCAAUCUGGUGUGUCAGACUGGCGUAUCCACACAUAAAAAUACAGCCCUUACAGACAACCGCCACACAGAGUUCCAGAACGCCCACACUGCUUCACUGUGAAUAGAUUUAAGGUCAUUUGAUUUAUGUCAUAAUUUCCCGAGGGAAUUUGCACCAUUGCGGUAAAAAUCAAUCAAAGUGAGUCCCGCCUUAGGACCUUAUGUUGUGGCCCCACAUUGUAGAGUGCCGUGUCAAAAUCUGAUUUCAAGACGUUUAUAUUGUUUCCACAGUGUGCAUGACUGAGAAAAUAUUCCAUCUUAAAUCCCUAAGCAACACAUGUGGUUUUUCGUUAUCAUACUAUGACCAGUUAUGAGAUUAAUGCACGUUCAUGUGUUCAUGGCAUUUACUUCGGAGGAGCUGAAUAAUAAAACAACAGAUGAAUGCGACUACAUUGAUUUGACUCAUAGCAGAUGUAUGAAUCAUAGCAUAUUUCUGUAAAAAAUGUGAAAAAAAACUUCAAUCUGAUUCUGCUGCUGGUCAACUACGACAUCCCAUGUCUUCAUACAGAAAUCCAUGUUGUCAUUGUGUCAAAAUCCCAACACUUUUGUAAAAUGCCUCUUCCCAUUUUGUUUUCACACAUGUAUUUACUGCCCACACGGAUCACCUCAUUUCCUGUGGGCCAUCAGGACAAAUUACAACUGACUUGUGUCUUGAUGAAAAAUUGAAGAGGAAAAUUGUCUGCACAUUUAAACUUGAUAUUCAUCUUGCGACAGGGUGCCACUGCCUGCUUUCACAGAGGUGCGAGGCCAUCUUUAUAUGGAGGAGAACAAACAGAAUCAUAAUGUCAUAUUUAUAAUAUCUGAUCAUAUUAUCAGAUAUUAUGAAUAUUAUGACUUAAUUGUGAGGCUGGCUGUUUAAUUGGACCACCCUCCUCCAGUGCACAACGGUCACAUUUAAAUGUAUCUGCUUGGGUUUACUUUCCCUGCAGUAGCACUAGGGGGAACCAAAUAGCUUCCACGGAUGCAGAGAAGAACACAUUUCAUAGUAUUGUGUUUCCCCACGAUUGGGAUAAUUAGACAACGAGAACACACAUAUUUAAACUACUAUUAAUAAUAAAAGACGAAUGAAAAGAUGCCCACGGUUUAUUCCGCGGUCAACACGCCAAAAAA